Molecule: long non-coding RNA, 281 nt
Organism: Triticum aestivum (bread wheat)
Lineage: Eukaryota; Viridiplantae; Streptophyta; Magnoliopsida; Poales; Poaceae
Exons: 3
Source: RefSeq, a predicted model, not a curated record
GGUUGGUGCCCAGGCUGUUUAUCUGUGGAGGCACCAAGAGCUUUUUGGAAAUGCAAAGGAAAAAUUUGAGAAUAUUAGAUUUGUGAUUUUAUUAAAUCUGGGCAUCGGCCUUCUUUGGCGCCGCAUCGACAAUUGGGCACAUCUGGGAGGGUUGCUUGGGGGAGCAGCGGUCGAAUGGUUCUACGGUCCAGAUUGGAAAGGGCGCCCGUUGUUUGGCCAAUGAGUAGCACAAGACCACAAUAACGCUCACGGCUUGCACAUAAAUUUAUCGUGCUGGUCCC